GACGUAGGGGGCCAGCGUUGCUCGGAAUUACUGGGUGUAAAGGGUUCGUAGGCGGUGUGGCAAGUCGGGAGUGAAAUCUCUGGGCUCAACCCAGAGUCUGCUUCCGAAACUGCUGUGCUUGAGUGUGGGAGAGGCGCGUGGAAUUGCAGGUGUAGCGGUGAAAUGCGUAGAUAUCUGCAGGAACACCCGUGGCGAAAGCGGCGCGCUGGACCACUACUGACGCUGAGGAACGAAAGCUGGGGGAGCAAACAGG
RNAcentral lists this ribosomal RNA (253 nucleotides) under uncultured bacterium. RNAcentral's name for it is "partial 16S ribosomal RNA". It matches the Rfam family "Bacterial small subunit ribosomal RNA", at positions 524 to 776 of the family's 1533-position model. The record is from RNAcentral.